This 378-nucleotide unclassified non-coding RNA is filed under the name uncultured Pseudomonadota bacterium. Its description in RNAcentral is "uncultured proteobacterium contains 16S-23S intergenic spacer region". Lineage: Bacteria; Pseudomonadati; Pseudomonadota. The record is from RNAcentral.
UCUCGGCUUAUCACCGGCAGUCCCCUUAGAGUGCCCAACCAAAUGAUGGCAACUAAGGGCGAGGGUUGCGCUCGUUGCGGGACUUAACCCAACAUCUCACGACACGAGCUGACGACAGCCAUGCAGCACCUGUGUCCACGCCCCUUGCGGGGAGGAACCCGUCUCCGGGAACCGUCGUGGCAUGUCAAGCGUAGGUAAGGUUUUUCGCGUUGCAUCGAAUUAAUCCACAUCAUCCACCGCUUGUGCGGGUCCCCGUCAAUUCCUUUGAGUUUUAAUCUUGCGACCGUACUCCCCAGGCGGUCUACUUCCCGCGUUAGCUGCGUUACCAAGGAAAUUAAUCCCCGACACCUAGUGCUCACCGUUUACGGCGUGGACUAC